GUACUACUCCCUCCGGCUGGAAUUACUUGUCGAAAUAUUACAUGUAUCUAUACGCUUUUUACACACAGAUACGUUCAUAUUUGGGCAAAUUUGAGACAAGUAAUACCGGUCGGAGGGAGUAGUAC
Brachypodium distachyon (stiff brome) is the source of this 125-nucleotide non-coding RNA. The record is from Rfam. Lineage: Eukaryota; Viridiplantae; Streptophyta; Magnoliopsida; Poales; Poaceae.